This is a long non-coding RNA of Cornus florida, 1144 nucleotides long. RefSeq lists it as uncharacterized. Lineage: Eukaryota; Viridiplantae; Streptophyta; Magnoliopsida; Cornales; Cornaceae. The record is from RefSeq and is a predicted model, not a curated record. The transcript is spliced from 10 exons.
ACACUACAACAAAAUGAGCUUUUAACAACACAUUUUCUAGAAGGGGCAUGCAUUGUAGAAAGCCCUUUCUACAACAUGCCCGCAUGGCCUAUUGUAGAAGAGUAGUUGUCUAAGCCCAAAUUUCUCGAGUUUCACCUUCAGAUCGAGGAAAAUAACCAGCAUGGCGGAUUAGUCUAAGCUCCCAAAUUCGCACACAUCGAUCCUCAACCAAAAUCCACACGAAACCCUAGUCCUAACUCUAAGCCCAAAUUUUGCGAGUUUCACCUUCAGAUUGAGGAAAAUAACCCAGCUUGCAUUUCUGAGUUUUUGCUUAAAUAUUGAUGCUUGAGGUUCAAGAUUAUCAUCUUUUUUUGGGAUACCUGGGUGUGCUUUUUUUGGGAUACACUAUUUGGUUUACAUGCAGGGCUGGGAUAAGCUUUCAUUUAUGAGUUUUUGCUUAAAUGAUGCUUAAGAUUGAAAUAGGAAUGGCAUAUUGGCUGCUCUUCGAUUUAAACUUUCCCUAUACACUUACUAGGAUUAUCUAGUAAAAGACGUGGACUGCCUUUAAAGCACGACGAACAGGAUUUCGAUCCGCGCUACUACUAAACCAAGUUUGUAGGUCCUGCCAACUUUUGCUGCUCUAUUUUCUCAUGGACCUGAAUUUCAAAUUUCUCAGCUACCACGGUUGCGAUUUGAUCCACGUCUUUUAUUGCACGGACAACAAUACAUAGAAAUUUACAAGGCACUUCCUUCUAGUGGUUGUCCCAACAUCAUCAGACGUAAGUUGAGAGCGAGUUUCAGUCUUAUUAACUACCAGUUUUUUCUGAAAGAUUAAUGGCCUAAGACAAUUAAUGUUAUGUUUAGCUGCUUGGAGUCUUGCCUUGAAUGCUUUGGUGCUUUGGAGGGAAAGUUUUUGCAAUUGAGCGUGAUGGGAAAUGCCUUGGUUGUGUUGGUAUCGAAACUUUUCUAAUCCUUGUACAGAUGGUAACAAUGAAGGAAACUUUGUAAUCUUUAAUGAAUAUAAAAUAAAUUUGGGAUCUAUUUGUUUGUGAUUAGUGGGAAGUAGAUGUAAAUUUUCAUUUUUAUAUGACUUGAACUCUUUUUCAUCUUGUAUCAUAUUGUUUGUAUAAGGCUUGGUGUGGAUAUAUAUACCUUUGGGUGGAUU